AGAGUUUGAUCAUGGCUCAGAGCGAACGCUGGCGGCAGGCUUAACACAUGCAAGUCGAGCGGGCGUAGCAAUACGCCAGCGGCAGACGGGUGAGUAACGCGUGGGAACAUACCUUUUGGUUCGGAACAACACAGGGAAACUUGUGCUAAUACCGGAUAAGCCCUUACGGGGAAAGAUUUAUCGCCGAAAGAUUGGCCCGCGUCUGAUUAGCUAGUUGGUGAGGUAACGGCUCACCAAGGCGACGAUCAGUAGCUGGUCUGAGAGGAUGAUCAGCCACAUUGGGACUGAGACACGGCCCAAACUCCUACGGGAGGCAGCAGUGGGGAAUAUUGGACAAUGGGCGCAAGCCUGAUCCAGCCAUGCCGCGUGAGUGAUGAAGGCCCUAGGGUUGUAAAGCUCUUUUGUGCGGGAAGAUAAUGACGGUACCGCUUAGAAUAG
This 438-nucleotide ribosomal RNA is filed under the name uncultured Bradyrhizobium sp. RNAcentral's name for it is "bacterial SSU rRNA". It matches the Rfam family "Bacterial small subunit ribosomal RNA", at positions 8 to 490 of the family's 1533-position model. The record is from RNAcentral. Lineage: Bacteria; Pseudomonadati; Pseudomonadota; Alphaproteobacteria; Hyphomicrobiales; Nitrobacteraceae.